RNAcentral lists this ribosomal RNA (469 nucleotides) under uncultured bacterium. RNAcentral's name for it is "partial 16S ribosomal RNA". It matches the Rfam family "Bacterial small subunit ribosomal RNA", at positions 27 to 507 of the family's 1533-position model. The record is from RNAcentral.
GGACGAACGCUGGCGGCGUGCUUAACACAUGCAAGUCGAACGGAAAGGCCCUGCUUUUGUGGGGUGCUCGAGUGGCGAACGGGUGAGUAACACGUGAGUAACCUGCCCUUGACUUUGGGAUAACUUCAGGAAACUGGGGCUAAUACCGGAUAGGAGCUCCUGCUGCAUGGUGGGGGUUGGAAAGUUUCGGCGGUUGGGGAUGGACUCGCGGCUUAUCAGCUUGUUGGUGGGGUAGUGGCUUACCAAGGCUUUGACGGGUAGCCGGCCUGAGAGGGCGACCGGCCACAUUGGGACUGAGAUACGGCCCAGACUCCUACGGGAGGCAGCGGUGGGGAAUAUUGCACAAUGGGCGGAAGCCUGAUGCAGCAACGCCGCGUGCGGGAUGACGGCCCUCGGGUUGUAAACCGCUUUCGCCUGUGACGAAGCGUGAGUGACGGUAAUGGGUAAAGAAGCACCGGCUAACUACGUG